CAUUAGAUACCCGGGUAGUCCUAGCCGUAAACGAUACUCGCUAGGUGUCGGCCACGGUGCGACCGUUGUCGGUGCCGUAGGGAAGCCGUGAAGCGAGCCACCUGGGAAGUACGGCCGCAAGGCUGAAACUUAAAGGAAUUGGCGGGGGAGCACCGCAACGGGAGGAGCGUGCGGUUUAAUUGGAUUCAACACCGUAAAACUCACCAGGGAAGACUGUUACAUGAAGGCCGAGAUGAAGACUCUGCUAGAUUUUCAG
RNAcentral lists this ribosomal RNA (256 nucleotides) under uncultured archaeon. Its description in RNAcentral is "partial 16S ribosomal RNA". It matches the Rfam family "Archaeal small subunit ribosomal RNA", at positions 727 to 982 of the family's 1478-position model. The record is from RNAcentral.